This is a long non-coding RNA of Esox lucius (northern pike), 332 nucleotides long. NCBI's taxonomy places the organism in Eukaryota, Metazoa, Chordata, Actinopteri, Esociformes, Esocidae. The record is from Ensembl.
CCUGGCCCUCCUCUACUUGUACAGAGUGAAAAGAAAACAAGGUGGUGCCUCAGCAAAGAUGGUCAGGGUGAUCCAUCAGACGCCCGACUACGAGGACGACGAGCUGAAGACGGAGGACCUGAGAGAGACCGCCGACCAGACCUCCGACUCCUCCUCCCGGGGAUCCACCCAAUGGUGUCAGGUCCAGGUGUACGAAUCGCUGGAUUACCUGGCUCUUCCCACCAAAGACAACGGCUAAGCACCAGCUCCUGGGCUCAAUCAGUCCGUUUUUACUGUUGCAUGGUUUUCUAUGUAUGCUUCUUUCUACUACAUCUUCUGUGCCAAUGUAUUUU